CGUUGCCAACCGUACGGUAAUUACCGUAUUUGUACGGUAAAUUGAUGCCAAAUACGGUAUACGGUCCGAAGGGGCUACCGUACGCCAAAAUACGGUAAUUUCGUAAUUUCAAUGCCUCAGUUAUUAGAAAUGUUUUUUGAAAGAUGCCAGCUUUUCUACUCAUGUCUCUGUGUAGAAAUUAGAAAACGGUAUGAUUUCGACAAUUUUAUUUUGCCAAAAUUGCAGAUAUUUGUGCCUAAAAAUGCAGUUUCUUCAGAUAUACACCAGCAGUUCCCAUCAUUAGCUCAUUUGUUCCAAAAUAUGACACGUUUUUAUGACAGUAGUGAAGGUCAACUAAUCGAUGAACAGUGGAGGUUGCUGCCAGAUUACCAUUUUACUGCUGAUGAAGAAAAAAAAUAGACAUCAACGAGGACAUUGACAUAUUCUGGGGAAAACUCCAAAAAUAUACAAAUGAAAUGGGUGUAUUUGAAUUCCAGAAAUUGUCACAGUUCGUACUGAAUAUAUUAUCCCUUCCGCACUCAAAUGCUGAAUGCGAAAAAGAGUCUCCAGUAAAAUAAACUUGGUUAAAACAAAAUCAAGAAAUAAGUUAAUAACUAAUACAAUCAAUGGUUGUUUAUUAACGUCUCAGUGUGUGAAAAAAGAUGGUAACUGCGUAGAUUUUACACCUACUCAGAAUAUGUAUGCAAGAAUGAACAAAAUUGAUAUGUAUUCUAAUUCUUCCAGUUCUAGUAUCGAAGUUGAUGAAGAUGAAUUUGUCAUAGACGGUUGAAAUAUAAAUUUUUGAAAAGAGGACACAUGAAUGCAAAUCAUAUUUAUGUUACAAUGGAAUCAGAAGGUUUUACAGAAGCAAGUAGCAGUUCGGCCACCCCCAAACGUAGUGGUAGUAAGCUGAGCCCCUUAACCAACCAGAGAAUUGAAAGAAUGAAGGCUAAAAUCAAUUCUUUGAAGUGCAAAAUAUUUAGGCGUAAAGUUCCCCACUGUUUUUGCAAAGGAAGACCCAUCGAGGCUACCAAUAGAACAAAUAUCUCAAGAUUGAUAUGUGAAUC
This is a long non-coding RNA of Harmonia axyridis, 1046 nucleotides long. RefSeq lists it as uncharacterized. Lineage: Eukaryota; Metazoa; Arthropoda; Insecta; Coleoptera; Coccinellidae. The transcript has 2 exons. The record is from RefSeq and is a predicted model, not a curated record.